This 254-nucleotide ribosomal RNA is filed under the name uncultured bacterium. Its description in RNAcentral is "partial 16S ribosomal RNA". It matches the Rfam family "Bacterial small subunit ribosomal RNA", at positions 524 to 776 of the family's 1533-position model. The record is from RNAcentral.
UACAGAGGUCUCAAGCGUUGUUCGGAUUUAUUGGGCGUAAAGAGCUCGUAGGCGGUUCGACAAGUCGGGUGUGAAAACUCCGGGCUCAACCCGGAGACGCCACCCGAUACUGUCGUGACUGGAGUCCGGUAGGGGAGUGGGGAAUUCCUGGUGUAGCGGUGAAAUGCGCAGAGAUCUGGAGGAACACCGAUGGCGAAGGCAGCCUUCUGGGCCAACACUGACGCUCAUGCACGAAAGCGUGGGGAGCAAACAGG